This is a long non-coding RNA of Lotus japonicus, 2098 nucleotides long. RefSeq lists it as uncharacterized. NCBI's taxonomy places the organism in Eukaryota, Viridiplantae, Streptophyta, Magnoliopsida, Fabales, Fabaceae. The record is from RefSeq and is a predicted model, not a curated record. The transcript is spliced from 6 exons.
UUUCACUCUUCACCGUUUAUCAUUUUCUUCGGCAAUCAAUUUGUACAGCCGUUUCUACAUUCCGAAAUCUGGAUGUUCACUCUUCCUCAUCACCGUUUCACUCUUCACUCAUUCCAGCCGUUUCACAUCAGGCCGUUUUCAAAAGCCUCUUCUCACAAUUCUAUGGAUUCUGCAGCACAAUUUUCGAUUCGUUCCAGCCGCUCCGUUGUUGCCCCUGACGCCUACAAAAUCGUUUUUCUUCUUCUUUUCAUCUUAACGCUGACCAUUGGAGUUUGCACAUACAGAGUCAAUUUCGUUCUUAUUACGGAAACCCUAUAGAUUGUGGUUUUCGAUCUUCCUUUCUUCUGAGCACUGUAAAGGAUGCAAAAGCUGAAUUAAUGUGGAGCACAGGGAAGCUUCCAUGCAUGCAAAUUUGAAACCUGUUUCAGUUCUGUUCUCUGGGUCUAAGGUGAGUGGAAAACGAAGCAAGGGGAGCGAAGAUCGUAGAGCACGAUCGUUCUCUCCAACUGCGGUUGUCAUCUUCGUGAUUCGCAUUUUUCGUCUUCCACUCCGCAGUUGAUUUUGAGUAGGAAGCAAGUGUUUCGUCUUUAUGGAAGCAAACGGUAUGGAAGCAAACGGGGUGACGCACAAGCAUGAAGAGCAGUUUCAAAAGGAUCAUUGAUGAAGCAAACGGGUCAUCUCAAGGAAAAGGGGCGCAGAUUCCCAGCAUCAGACCUUACAGUGAAGCUGAUGAGAUGGAGCGUAGUGCUGUAAGAGGAGGUAGAGGCAUUGCUGAAUGAGAAGAUGAAAAAGGGAAAUCCUUAUGAUAAUAAGGUCUAUUUCAUCUUACUAAUUCUAUUUAAUCAAUUAUUAUUCUUUUUCUUUUUUCUUUUUGAGUGUUGUUGUAGACCUUAUAUUAUGUGGGUUUUGUUGUGACCCCACUUUUUAAUUUGUAGAAAAAGACCGAGCAGAUGACAGAUCUUAUAAAUCAGCUUAUUUAAUUUUCUUAAAUAGUCAUCCAUCCUUUGUCCUAUCAGUAUUUUAUUAAUUUUCAUAGUCACAUUCUGAAACAGGUAAGAAUAUAUAAUUUUCUUCAUUAUCUUCCAUUCAGUGCUCUUUGUUUUUUAACAAAUUGAAACUCAUCACAAUGAUACCUCCUGUUGUGCAGAAAUGGACGUCAAGUUGAGGCAAAUGUUUAAGCUUAUUGAUUUGGAGAUAGUAAAAUGGUGUAGCAUUUGUUACUCUUUAUUUUUCUUUUGCUUGCAAUUCCAUUGCCUCCUUUAAUCCAGGAUUCAAUUGUUCGGUGUCAACAAGAUAUAGUUUGAGCAGUGCAGAGAAUAAUGUGGUAUUUGCACAGGCGAAUGUCAGUACUUCCGAUGAACAAAACUUUUAGUUGUUAAGCAGGAAUGCAUGAUGUUUCCAUUUGUUAUCCCCUUAUUGCUUAACAUCUUAACAACAAGAUAUAGUUAUUUAUACUUCACCAAUCUCUAUUAUAGAUAAAGUAAAUUUAGUGUUCUUGAUAUAUAAUCUAUGUGCGUGUUCAUAUUAGUGUUCAUAUUUGUGAUAAUAAUACACAUUUGAGGCUUGAUUUAAAAAAAGUUCUAGCAUGUUACUUUAGCAGAAUUUCUAAUCUUGCCUUUUCUUACUUUAGCAGAAUUUCUGGACUGGCAGCCCCCUAUUUGUAUUCUAUGAUGGAGUCAACGAGGAAAAUGACAUGCUAGAUUAAUUUUUCUCUAGAUAACUAGGUUGGGAACUGGGGAUUCUGUAGCUGGAGAAGACCAAUCUCUUUCACUGUUGUGGGGAAAGCUUUUUUCAAGCCUUGGUCCUUUGAUCUUGAUAUAACUCAGGGAUAAGCAUUAAGUCCCUUGCAAUGAUAGAAAUACUUAUCUGCUUUCAUCCAAUAGUAUAAGGGUAACAGUAAACUUUUUUUUUUGUCAAAAUUAAUGUGACAUUGCUUUGACCAAACUAAGAUUUUACAUGUACAAUUGCAAAAUGCAUUUGAAGUAGCUAAUGUAGAUGUGAUGAUGAAUACUACCACUAAAAUAAGAAUUGGUUUAAAGUCAUUGUUGAGUUCCUAUUAGAGGAAAGGGAAAUAUGAUUCUCUCAUUUGAUUGGAAGA